This 429-nucleotide ribosomal RNA is filed under the name Chloroflexota bacterium. RNAcentral's name for it is "Chloroflexi bacterium partial 16S ribosomal RNA". It matches the Rfam family "Bacterial small subunit ribosomal RNA", at positions 355 to 776 of the family's 1533-position model. The record is from RNAcentral. Lineage: Bacteria; Bacillati; Chloroflexota.
UGGGGAAUAUUGCACAAUGGGCGCAAGCCUGAUGCAGCCAUGCCGCGUGUAUGAAGAAGGCCUUCGGGUUGUAAAGUACUUUCAGCGGGGAGGAAGGGAGUAAAGUUAAUACCUUUGCUCAUUGACGUUACCCGCAGAAGAAGCACCGGCUAACUCCGUGCCAGCAGCCGCGGUAAUACGGAGGGUGCAAGCGUUAAUCGGAAUUACUGGGCGUAAAGCGCACGCAGGCGGUUUGUUAAGUCAGAUGUGAAAUCCCCGGGCUCACCCUGGGAACUGCAUCUGAUACUGGCAAGCUUGAGUCUCGUAGAGGGAGGUAGAAUUCCAGGUGUAGCGGUGAAAUGCGUAGAGAUCUGGAGGAAUACCGGUGGCGAAGGCGGCCCCCUGGACGAAGACUGACGCUCAGGUGCGAAAGCGUGGGGAGCAAACAGG